This is a long non-coding RNA of Cylas formicarius (sweet potato weevil), 634 nucleotides long. RefSeq lists it as uncharacterized. NCBI's taxonomy places the organism in Eukaryota, Metazoa, Arthropoda, Insecta, Coleoptera, Brentidae. The record is from RefSeq and is a predicted model, not a curated record. The transcript has 4 exons.
UCAAUCGGCGGCUGUAUGUUGACUUACUAGAAUAUAAUUGCUGUUAAUCCGGCCCUGCUUCGUGUACAAAUGCAUAGUGGGGAGACAUGAACAUUUUUCGAAAUUGCGGCCCUAUCCUCUUGGGAUUCUACGUUGGACAAAUUCUGAAAACGACCCCAGAAAUAUAAUUGGAGGUUCAAACCCGUGCGAGGUGAGCUUUCAUAUAUGAAACAGACCAGUCAUGGGGACACGAGAUAUGGAAAGUUUCAGCGUAGUCGUCGCCACAUUGCUGCCAACACUGCAUAUAUAAGGAAUCACGAACCAUUCAGGAAUAUUGAGACUUAGACCAGUAUCUUUUUAAGUAGGCAUGUGGGGUAAAGAAGACGCAGAAGCUUCAGUCGGGUACCAUCGGUAACGUAGGCGAUUGAUAUAUUUCCACCACUACAUAUGUUGGAUUGGAAUUUCCCAUUUGAUGCUUUGACUGACUAAAUGAGAAAACUUGGAGAUAUUAAUGGUGGUGCCACACAGCUUCCAGUUCCGAAAAAAGAAAUAAAACACUUUUCGUCUUUAUUUCCUCUGUCCUUUGUGCGCAAAAAAAGUACAGUUUGUACCCGCGAGGGUACACAUUCGCAGAACUAUAUGUUUUUAAAAUAAA